GGUGAAGGUCCUGGGCCGUGACAUGCCCGGGGAGCCUCGGCAGGGCAGCUCCUGGCAGAGGGUGUCCUUGGUCACAGCAGCUUCUGUGACCAAAUACUCUGGAGCAGCCCAAGAGCUGGGUGGGAGAGUGAACCCUGAGUAAAGGACCUGGGAGAGAAGAAGCAUGGCAGGCAUUGGAACAGUUGCUGCUGCGGUUGGUGUGAAGCUGCUUGAGAAACUCAUAGACGAGAUCUGCGUGCGAACAAAAAAAGAACGGGAGGCAGAGGCCACAAAGCCUCAGGAAUCUUGGAUGAAGGAGGACUUCCAGGAGCUCAUCCAACAAAUGAAAGCUAUGCGUGAAGAUCUCCAGAAAGGGCAGGAAUCCACAAAGCAGGAUAUUCAGCUGCUCAUAGAAGGCCUGAAGAAGGAACUAGGAAAGACAGAGGAGGAAAAUCCCCCAAAGUCUCAGGGAUCUGGGAUGGAGGAGACCCUUGUGCAGCUCUGCAAAGAAAUGAAAGCUAUGCGUGAAGAUCUCCAGAAAGGGCAGGAAUCCACAAAUUGCCUUCUUCAGCUGCUCGUAGAAGACCUGAACAAGGAACAAGGUGAGCAGGGCCAUUCCCAAGCACUUCCAUCUCUCUGAACACCAAAACUGCUCUACAGGCAAACCACACUGAGAGCUUGUCCUGCACAGCUCCUCAAAGGGGCUGGAGAAGGACGGCCCUGACAUGGGGCACAGCUUUUGUGCUGCCUGACCCUGAAACAGCUCCCUGCUGAAGUGUUCUCUGCAGGUGGUCAUGGCCACACUUGUCUCCCUCAUCUCUGCAGAGAGUGUGUGCUGUGAGUUCUCUGAUCCCCUGAUCCUUGUUAAGGUUCCCCCCUUGCAGUCCUGUCAGCAUCUCUCUCCCUUUCCCCACUCCCCUUCUCCCACUCCCCACUCCUGGGGCCGUCUUGGGGCACAUGUGAUCCCAACCUUGUCUUCCUGUUGAAGAUCCACAAGGAGACCCAGCUCCAUGAGCACUGCAGGUGUCUCUGAG
Molecule: long non-coding RNA, 1013 nt
Filed under: Manacus vitellinus (golden-collared manakin)
Lineage: Eukaryota; Metazoa; Chordata; Aves; Passeriformes; Pipridae
Description: lncRNA (ENSMVIG00005004870.1)
Source: RNAcentral